AGUCACGCUGUAAACGAUGUCGAUUUGGAGGUUGUUCCCUUGAGGAGUGGCUUCCGGAGCUAACGCGUUAAAUCGACCGCUGGGGAGUACGGCCGCAAGGUUAAAACUCAAAUGAAUUGACGGGGGCCCGCACAGCGGUGGAGCAUGUGGUUUAAUUCGAUGCAACGCGAAGAACCUUACCUACUCUUGACAUCCAGAGAAUUUAGCAGAGAUGCUUUAGUGCCUUCGGGAACUCUGAGACAGGUGCUGCAUGGCUGUCGUCAGCUCGUGUUGUGAAAUGUUGGGUUAAGUCCCGCAACGAGCGCAACCCUUAUCCUUUGUUGCCAGCACAUUAUGGUGGGAACUCAAAGGAGACUGCCGGUGAUAAACCGGAGGAAGGUGGGGAUGACGUCAAGUCAUCAUGGCCCUUACGAGUAGGGCUACACACGUGCUACAAUGGCGUAUACAAAGAGAAGCGACCUCGCGAGAGCAAGCGGAACUCAUAAGGUACGUCGUAGUCCGGAUUGGAGUCUGCAACUCGACUCCAUGAAGUCGGAAUCGCUAGUAAUCGUAGAUCAGAAUGCUACGGUGAAUACGUUCCCGGGCCUUGUACACACCGCCCGUCACACCAUGGGAGUGGGUUGCAAAAGAAGUAGGUAGCUUAACCUUCGGGAGGGCGCUUACCACUUUGUGAUUCAUGACUGGGGUGAAGUCGUAACAAGGUAACCA
RNAcentral lists this ribosomal RNA (708 nucleotides) under uncultured Providencia sp. Its description in RNAcentral is "bacterial SSU rRNA". It matches the Rfam family "Bacterial small subunit ribosomal RNA", at positions 793 to 1502 of the family's 1533-position model. The record is from RNAcentral. Lineage: Bacteria; Pseudomonadati; Pseudomonadota; Gammaproteobacteria; Enterobacterales; Morganellaceae.